This 498-nucleotide ribosomal RNA is filed under the name Saprolegnia sp. RNAcentral describes it as "partial large subunit ribosomal RNA". It matches the Rfam family "Eukaryotic large subunit ribosomal RNA", at positions 450 to 835 of the family's 3401-position model. The record is from RNAcentral. Lineage: Eukaryota; Oomycota; Saprolegniomycetes; Saprolegniales; Saprolegniaceae.
UUCAUUAGCGGAGUAAUUUGCUGGUGCCCUGUGCAUGGGUGUGACGUCAGAGUCAGUUUGUAUGCUGCGGGAGAUGGUCAGUGAGGAGGUGCGUCACUUCGGUGAAAGUUAUACCUUGCUGUCUAGUAGCCGUGGUUGAGACUGAGGUGCCUACAACAUGCCUUGAGGUUUGGUGCUGUCUUGUUUUGGUGACUGCUUGGAUAGCUUGCUAUGUCUGCGGUUAAUCAGAGCAAUUGAUGGUGCCAAUAACCUCUGCUGUUCGGGACUCUGGCGAAAUGGAGCGUUACGACCCGUCUUGAAACACGGACCAAGGAGUCUAACAUGUGUGCAAGUAUUAGGGCGUGGAAACCCAAAUGCGUAAUGAAAGUAAAUGCUACUUAUGUAGCUUUGGUAGGAAAGGGCUGUAAUGGUUCUGGCACUAUCGACCGAUCAUGAGCCUACGGGCGAAAGAUUUGAGUAUGAGCAUAUAUGUUGGUACCCGAAAGAUGGUGAACUAUG